This 433-nucleotide ribosomal RNA is filed under the name uncultured bacterium. Its description in RNAcentral is "partial 16S ribosomal RNA". It matches the Rfam family "Bacterial small subunit ribosomal RNA", at positions 29 to 507 of the family's 1533-position model. The record is from RNAcentral.
AACGAACGCUGGCGGCAUGCCUAACACAUGCAAGUCGAACGAGACCUUCGGGUCUAGUGGCGCACGGGUGCGUAACGCGUGGGAAUCUGCCCUUGGGUUCGGAAUAACAGUUGGAAACGACUGCUAAUACCGGAUGAUGACGUAAGUCCAAAGAUUUAUCGCCCAAGGAUGAGCCCGCGUAGGAUUAGCUAGUUGGUGAGGUAAAGGCUCACCAAGGCGACGAUCCUUAGCUGGCCUGAGAGGAUGAUCAGCCACACUGGGACUGAGACACGGCCCAGACUCCUACGGGAGGCAGCAGUGGGGAAUAUUGGACAAUGGGCGAAAGCCUGAUCCAGCAAUGCCGCGUGAGUGAUGAAGGCCUUAGGGUUGUAAAGCUCUUUUACCCGGGAUGAUAAUGACAGUACCGGGAGAAUAAGCUCCGGCUAACUCCGUG